UUUGACCUUAUUACCCGUAACUAGCAAAGUUAAUGUUACAAGUAUGCCUGUUAAUAAUUCCUCUCAAAUAUGUUCCAAACCCCAAAACCGCUAUGUUCCAUCUCUCAAAUAUCUGAAAUCUCAAUCCCUCCUCGUUAGUUUCUAUGCCCCAAAGUCAUCUGCCCUUUUUUUUCUAUUCGCUGCCAUUGCUCCUCCAAAAUCCCCAAAUUUUCCGUUAUGAUUCUUUCUCAACAGCUCAAUAACAACAACAUAUCUGGCGUUCUUUGCCUUCCUUGAUCGUCUUCUUAUGGUUUCUUUUGUAGGACAUGGGAAGGUGUGAAGUGUUCACUAUUGAGCAUGAUAACCGCGGCCGGCUCCUAUUCCGUCGGCACGCGGAACUAAGGAUGCUAGGUGCACACUAGGUGUUCGAUAAAAUGCCAAUAUCAAUUGGUCGAUUCUCUGCAUUUUCAGAAGUAGUAUGGCCGAUGAACAAAAUGUGCCAUCUAAGAAGAGGGUAGGGGUCCAUCAAUGAGGGUAGGGAAUCAAGUACACCUAUGUUCCUCGAGUUUAAUGAUUUUGACUUGUGUAGUGCGGAUUGGGAAGCUACCUACAGGAAACAAAUUGACGCUUGUGCUAAGAGAAUUGAUAUAAAUAUGGACGAAUAUUCGAAGAUUGAUAAAGGUGCUAUACGUUUAUGGUGGUCUCUCUCAUAAUAUUCAGACAAUUGAUCAGUGAACAUGAAUGAAGAACGGUUGAUACAUGCUAGUAGAGAUGCAUUGCUAAGAGUAAGGACACAUGAAGUUAAGGUACUUAUAUAGUAAUUUAAUUUAUGUACCAUUCUAAGAAUAGUAAAGGAAACAGCAAGGCAGGAAUUCCGAAAGUCCAGGAGCUUAAGGCGAGUUGCGCUGCCUAGUAUGUUUUUCAGUUUACUCACUAUUUGUUGUAUUCUUUUGGUUAAUCACUUCAAGAUAUUGUGCCACUUAUAAAUUGAUGAAAUUUAUUGUUUUUUUCCUUUGAAGAUAAAUUUAUACAGAGAACAAAGAAGCUAUACCAGGAAUACUAUGAAGAGGUUUUAACUAGUUUUGUUUGCAGAUUGUGUGAGAAACCACAACCACGGUAGAGAAAUGUAGUCGUGCUUAUAUUUUUUUUGUUCUACUUUAUUGUUAAAGUUUUAUAUAAUUAGGAGUUGCUAUUUAGAAUUUUGAUGAAAAAAUAAGUUUGUGAUACCUCAUAUGUACCUCUUUAUUUACUCCAAUGUUAUACAUUCAGAUUAUUUUAUAAAUACCAUUCACUUUUA
Spinacia oleracea (spinach) is the source of this 1276-nucleotide long non-coding RNA. RefSeq lists it as uncharacterized. The record is from RefSeq and is a predicted model, not a curated record. The transcript is spliced from 6 exons. Lineage: Eukaryota; Viridiplantae; Streptophyta; Magnoliopsida; Caryophyllales; Amaranthaceae.